GAUGAACGCUGGCGGCGUGCUUAACACAUGCAAGUCGGACGGACACAUCUUUCGGGGUGUGUUAGUGGCAGACGGGUGCGUAACGCGUAUGCAACCUGCCCCGCACCGGGGGAUAGCCCGCCGAAAGGCGGAUUAAUACCCCAUGGUCCCGGGGGCCCGCAUGGGCAUCCGGGUAAAGCCUUGGCGGUGCGGGAUGGGCAUGCGUGCCAUUAGCUGGCUGGUGGGGUAACGGCCCACCAGGGCAACGAUGGCUAGGGGGUCUGAGAGGAUGGUCCCCCACACUGGUACUGAGACACGGACCAGACUCCUACGGGAGGCAGCAGUGAGGAAUAUUGGUCAAUGGGCGGAAGCCUGAACCAGCCAUGCCGCGUGCGGGAUGAAGGCCCUACGGGUUGUAAACCGCUUUUCCCCGGGAAGAAUAACCCCGAUGAGUCGGGGGAGUGCCGGUACCGGGGGAAUAAGGAUCGGCUAACUCCGUG
This 479-nucleotide ribosomal RNA is filed under the name uncultured bacterium. RNAcentral describes it as "bacterial SSU rRNA". It matches the Rfam family "Bacterial small subunit ribosomal RNA", at positions 28 to 507 of the family's 1533-position model. The record is from RNAcentral.